UCCCACAAAUCUACACUGGGGCAUUAAAGGUGCUAGCCUCAGAGUGAAGUCAAAGAAUAAAUAUGAAGUUGUGCUCUAUGCAAAACCAUUUGCUUAUGCCUCCAAAACUCCUUAUGAAGAAUGCAUGAAGCCUAAGCCAACUCCUGCUCCUUACUAUUACAAAUCUCCACCUCCUCCAUCACCAAUAUAUAUUUACAAGUCACCUCCUCCUCCAUCACCAAAAUACGUAUACAAGUCUCCGCCACCACCGUCACCAAAAUACGUGUACAAGUCACCUCCUCCUCCAUCACCAAAAUACGUAUAUAAGUCACCGCCUCCUCCAACACCAAUGUAUGUAUACAAAUCACCACCUCCACCAUCACCAAAAUACGUGUACAAGUCACCACCUCCCCCAUCACCAAAAUAUGUCUACAAGUCACCGCCUCCCCCAUCACCAAAAUACGUAUACAAGUCCCCGCCACCACCAUCACCAAAAUACGUGUACAAAUCACCACCUCCCCCAUCACCGAAAUACGUAUACAAGUCGCCACCUCCUCCAUCACCAAAAUACAUAUACAAGUCCCCACCACCACCACCACCUUACUAUUACAAGUUCCCUCCACCACCAUCACCAUCUCCCCCACCUCCUUACUAUUACAAGUCUCCUCCACCACCAUCGCCAUCUCCUCCUCCACCAUAC
This 679-nucleotide long non-coding RNA is filed under the name Nicotiana benthamiana. Its description in RNAcentral is "long non-coding RNA (NBEN_LNC002851)". Lineage: Eukaryota; Viridiplantae; Streptophyta; Magnoliopsida; Solanales; Solanaceae. The record is from RNAcentral.